Molecule: RNase P RNA, 359 nt
Filed under: uncultured Enterococcus sp.
Lineage: Bacteria; Bacillati; Bacillota; Bacilli; Lactobacillales; Enterococcaceae
Description: Bacterial RNase P class B
Rfam family: Bacterial RNase P class B
About the family: Ribonuclease P (RNase P) is a ubiquitous endoribonuclease, found in archaea, bacteria and eukarya as well as chloroplasts and mitochondria. Its best characterised activity is the generation of mature 5'-ends of tRNAs by cleaving the 5'-leader elements of precursor-tRNAs.
Source: RNAcentral
UUUCGGAUAAUCGCGGAGUAUUUUUAGAUAUUCUGAGGAAAGUCCAUGCUCACACAAGCUGCGAUGCUUGUAGUGUUCGUGCUUAGCGAAACAAUAAGCUAAGGUAUAGUUUUUCUAUAACGGCGGAAGUAAUGGCUACGGAAUUGAUUCUAUGCCAAAGAAUUCCUUAACGUGCAACAGUGACGAUAAAUAAGAGAAAUCUUAUUGUGAAACGGGUAAACCCCUCGAGUGAGCAACCCAAAUUAUGGUAGGGGCGCCUUUUGAACGGAAAUGAACGGGUCAAAGGGGCAUUAAAUGCAGAUAGAUGAUUAUCCAUAUCUUUUUUCCCUGGAAAAGAUAGGACAAAACAUGGCUUAUAG